CGCUGGCGGCGUGCUUAACACAUGCAAGUCGAACGGUGACGAGGAGCUUGCUCCUCUGAUCAGUGGCGAACGGGUGAGUAACACGUGAGUAACCUGCCCCAGACUCUGGGAUAACAGUUGGAAACAGCUGCUAAUACCGGAUACGAGACGGAGAGGCAUCUCUACCGUCUGGAAAGUUUUUCGGUCUGGGAUGGACUCGCGGCCUAUCAGCUUGUUGGUGAGGUAAUGGCUCACCAAGGCGACGACGGGUAGCCGGCCUGAGAGGGCGACCGGCCACACUGGGACUGAGACACGGCCCAGACUCCUACGGGAGGCAGCAGUGGGGAAUAUUGCACAAUGGGCGAAAGCCUGAUGCAGCGACGCCGCGUGAGGGAUGACGGCCUUCGGGUUGUAAACCUCUUUCAGCAGGGAAGAAGCGAAAGUGACGGUACCUGCAGAAGAAGCACCGGCUAACUACGUG
This 460-nucleotide ribosomal RNA is filed under the name uncultured bacterium. RNAcentral describes it as "bacterial SSU rRNA". It matches the Rfam family "Bacterial small subunit ribosomal RNA", at positions 34 to 507 of the family's 1533-position model. The record is from RNAcentral.